This 1539-nucleotide ribosomal RNA is filed under the name metagenome. Its description in RNAcentral is "bacterial SSU rRNA". It matches the Rfam family "Bacterial small subunit ribosomal RNA". The record is from RNAcentral.
AGAGUUUGAUUCUGGCUCAGAACGAACGCUGGCAGCGUGGAUUAGGCAUGCAAGUCGAACGGGAAGCCGGGGACCAAUCUUUCGAGAGAGUGAACCGGUAGAGAGUGGCGAAAGGGUGAUUAACGCGUGAGUAACCUACCCUUAAGUUGGGGACAACUCCUGGAAACGGGAGCUAAUACCGAAUGUGGUACUCCAGGGCAUCCUGGGGCUACUGAAGAUGGGGAUCCUUCGGGACCUGUCGCUUGAGGAGGGGCUCGCGUCCCAUCAGCUUGUUGGUGAGGUAAUGGCUUACCAAGGCUUACGGGUAGCCGGCCUGAGAGGGUGAUCGGCCACACUGGGACUGAGACACUGCCCAGACUCCUACGGGAGGCUGCAGUCGAGGAUCAUUCGCAAUGCGCGAAAGCGUGACGAUGCGACGCUGCGUGGAGGAUGACGGCCUUCGGGUUGUAAACUCCUGUCAUGAGGGAAAAGCCGGUUGAGGGAUAAUACCCCUUGGCCCCGAUGGUACCUCAAGAGGAAGCCACGGCUAACUCUGUGCCAGCAGCCGCGGUAAUACAGAGGUGGCGAGCGUUGUUCGGAUUUACUGGGCGUAAAGGGUGCGUAGGCGGCGUCGUGUGUCGGAUGUGAAAUCCCAUGGCUCAACUGUGGAAUUGCAUUAGAAACUGCGGCGCUAGAGGCCAGGAGGGGAGAGCGGAAUUCUUGGUGUAGCGGUGAAAUGCGUUGAUAUCAAGAAGAACACCGGUGGCGAAGGCGGCUCUCUGGAAUGGUUCUGACGCUGAGGCACGAAAGCUGGGGGAGCAAACAGGAUUAGAUACCCUGGUAGUCCCAGCCGUAAACGGUGUGCACUUGGUGUAGGGGGUAUUGACCCCCCCUGUGCCGGAGCUAACGCGUUAAGUGCACCGCCUGGGGAGUACGGCCGCAAGGCUAAAACUCAAAGAAAUUGACGGGGGCCCGCACAAGCGGAGGAGCAUGUGGCUUAAUUCGAUGCAACGCGAAGAACCUUACCUGGGUUUGACAUGGUGCUGCACGCCUCCUGAAAGGGAGGAAGCCUUCGAGGGUGCACCACAGGUGCUGCAUGGCUGUCGUCAGUUCGUGCCGUGAGGUGUUGGGUUAAGUCCCGCAACGAACGCAACCCUUGUGUUUAGUUGCCACCGGCGGUGAUGAGCCGUCGAGCACUCUAGACAGACUGCCCGUACAAGCGGGAGGAAGGUGGGGACGACGUCAAGUCAGUAUGGCCCUUACACCCAGGGCUGCACACGUGCUACAAUGGUCGGUACAGAAGGAGGCAAUACCGCGAGGUGGAGCAAAUCCUGAAAGCCGGCCCCAGUUCGGAUUGGAGUCUGCAACUCGACUCCAUGAAGUCGGAUUCGCUAGUAACGGCGUAUCAGCUACGACGCCGUGAAUACGUUCCCGGGCCUUGUACACACCGCCCGUCACAUCAUGAAAGCCGUCUGCACCCGAAGUCGCUGAGCCAACCAAUUUAUUGGAGGCAGGUGCCGAAGGUGUGGGUGGUGAUUGGGAUGAAGUCGGAACAAGGUA